UAUGCCCGAGUUGUAAUUUAGAGAGGAUGCUUUUGGUGCUGGUGCUGCCCGAGUUCCCUGGAAUGGGACGCCACAGAGGGUAAGAGCCCCGUCUGGCUAGCACCUAGGGCCUCUAUAAAGCUCCUUCGACGAGUCAGUAGUUUGGGAAUGCUGCUCAAAGCGGGAGGUAUAUGUCUUCUAAAGCUAAAUACCGGCUAGAGACCGAUAGCGCACAAGUAGAGUGAUCGAAAGAUGAAAAGCACUUUGAAAAGAGGGUUAAACAGUACGUGAAAUUGCUAAAAGGGAAGCGCUUAUAACCAGACGUGGGACGGGGGAUCAGCCAGUAGCACUGGUGUACUCUGCUGUCCUGGGCCAGCAUCGGUUUGCCACAGGGGAUAAAGACGCAGGGAACGUGGCCCUUUUAGGGUGUUAUAGCCCUGUGUGGAAUACUCCGCGGCAGACCGAGGAACGCGUAACAAGGAUGCUGGCGUAAUGGUUAUUAGUGACCCGUCUUGAAACACGGACCAAGGAGUCGUCCUUGUAUGCGAGUGUUUGGGUGUCAAACCCUAGCGCGGAAUGAAAGUGAACGUGGGUAAGAGCCUUCUGGGCGCAUUACCGACCGAUCCUGAAGUUCGUCAGAUGGAUUUGAGUAGGAGCAUACAGGGCCGGACCCGAAAGAAGGUGAACUAUGCCUGCGUAGGGUGAAGCCAGAGGAAACUCUGGUGGAGGCU
This 710-nucleotide ribosomal RNA is filed under the name Ophiocordyceps sp. Ophara729. Its description in RNAcentral is "eukaryotic LSU rRNA". It matches the Rfam family "Eukaryotic large subunit ribosomal RNA", at positions 133 to 875 of the family's 3401-position model. The record is from RNAcentral. Lineage: Eukaryota; Fungi; Ascomycota; Sordariomycetes; Hypocreales; Ophiocordycipitaceae. RNAcentral also lists the same sequence under 1 other name.